GAUGAACGCUGGCGGCGUGCCUAAUACAUGCAAGUCGAGCGAACGGACGAGAAGCUUGCUUCUCUGAUGUUAGCGGCGGACGGGUGAGUAACACGUGGAUAACCUACCUAUAAGACUGGGAUAACUUCGGGAAACCGGUGCUAAUACCGGAUAAUAUUUUGAACCGCAUGGUUCAAAAGUGAAAGACGGUCUUGCUGUCACUUAUAGAUGGAUCCGCGCUGCAUUAGCUAGUUGGUAAGGUAACGGCUUACCAAGGCAACGAUGCAUAGCCGACCUGAGAGGGUGAUCGGCCACACUGGAACUGAGACACGGUCCAGACUCCUACGGGAGGCAGCAGUAGGGAAUCUUCCGCAAUGGGCGAAAGCCUGACGGAGCAACGCCGCGUGAGUGAUGAAGGUCUUCGGAUCGUAAAACUCUGUUAUUAGGGAAGAACAUAUGUGUAAGUAACUGUGCACAUCUUGACGGUACCUAAUCAGAAAGCCACGGCUAACUACGUG
Molecule: ribosomal RNA, 497 nt
Filed under: uncultured bacterium
Lineage: Bacteria
Description: partial 16S ribosomal RNA
Rfam family: Bacterial small subunit ribosomal RNA
Source: RNAcentral